This 69-nucleotide transfer RNA is filed under the name Clostridium sp. 42_12. RNAcentral's name for it is "tRNA-Pro". The record is from RNAcentral. Lineage: Bacteria; Bacillati; Bacillota; Clostridia; Eubacteriales; Clostridiaceae.
CGGGAUGUAGCGCAGUUUGGUAGCGCACUUCGUUCGGGACGAAGGUGUCAAAGCUGAAUUUUAUCGUGG